UAAAAUUCAAACUUGAGAACUUGCUUAAGAAGAAUCCAUGAUCAAUAACAGAGAGAAAAGCAACACAAAAUCUUGAAAACACUCGGUAUUUUUUCACUUGGAUAAAAUCAACUGAACUGUUUAUAUCAACUUAUCUGUCUCCAAUUAAGUCCAAGGAUCAGAACAACCAAAAAAAAAAAAAUUGAAGAAAAGUCAAAAGGGUAGGUGAAUCAAAGCUCAAGUAGGAACCUUUCCAAUCAGAAUUUCAUUGGUGUGAGGACCAUAGACAUCAGAGGUAUCAAGGAAUGUGACACCACUUUGAACAGCAUGGUGAAUGAGAGCAACCAUGUCAGGUUCUGGCUUUGGAGGUCCAUAGUAAGCAGACAUUCCCAUGCAACCAAGUCCUUGCUGAGAUACCUCCAAACCUUGUGAUCCCAGUUUCAUUCUUCCAACUUUAGCCAUUGCUGUGUUGUGGUGAUGAUGUGCUUGCAAGUUGCAACUAUGAUCAGUGUUCGAAGAGUGAUGCAGAAGUUUUAUUUGGCUUCUUUGAAUGAAUGUUCUGAGCUAUGUGCCUACUCUUAUAAGUAGUUGAAAACUCCAUCAUGACAGCAAGGCAAAGAUUAUUAAUUAAUAUCAUAUUAUUAAUCAUUCACUUCAUUAGAAAUCAUUAUGACUAAUGAGGAUAAAUUUAUGACUAUCUCCAUGUUGAAAUAGUAUUUACAACACUUUUUAUGUACCAGUAUAUAUAUAUUUAAGGUUCCGAUUGUUGGAUACGUUUGUUCUUGAUUGGUAUAUUUCAAUACUUUUAUUUUUCAGUAGGUACAAAAUAAAAUAAAUUAUCUGUAAGAGAAUAUGCCCUAGGUCUUAAUUAUGUUGGUUUUCAUCUCUGAUAUAGUGAUAUGUCUUUAUCUUCUUAAAUGCAAUGAAGUUAAAUGGAUUUGGUAUUUGAUUAUCUCACUAAAGUUGAGGUUUUGGUGGGCUCAAUAAACUAGAUCAGCAUAAUAUAGUGCAAUUUAGGUAAUGCCAAAAGCACAGUGCUCCUCUUCCUUUUGAAUGCUUUUCUAAACAAAAACAAUACUAAACUAAAAAUAAAAUAAGGGGAGUGGAGGAAGUCAUAAUUCCUAUCACAAUAUCUGGUUCUGGUUUUGGAGGUCCAUAGCCAGAAGACAUUCCCAUGCAACCAAGUCCUUGCUGAGACACCUCCAAGCCCUGUGAACCCAGCUUCAUUCUUCCAACUUUAGCCAUUGUUGUCAUGUGAAGAUGAUGGUAGCACUAUGAUAUCAGUGGAAGAAGCAGAAUGAAGCUUUGUGAAUGUUAAUUGUCAAAUGACUACAGCUGUGAAACCUCAAAUGGCUGAGUAUAGUUAUUCUAAACAAGAAAGUAAAUAUAGUUUUUAUAAAAAAAAUUGUCCCACUCCCAGCAGCCAGUAUAGAAUAUAGCAAUUAGAAAAAGAACCCCACAAACCCACCCCAUUUAACUAAUCAAACGGUGUACCUAACUUUUAUUUUCUUUAUAAAAAUGUUAAUAGGACCUUUCACCUCAUAUAUUUACAUUGAAAAACUUACUUGUUAGUACAUUCAUUCACUUAUGACCAUAAUUUUUAACAUAAGAAAAAAAUACAAAUCACUGAAUCAUUUAGAUAUGAAACUUUGCUUUCACCUUGGUCAAAGAUUAAUAGUAGAAGGCAUGGCAUUGUUGAUGUGCUUAAGUCUUUUGUUUAUUAAGACAGAGAAACACACACACAUACAUGAAGUUAUCUGGAACAGAGUUCAAACUUCAGAUCACUUAAUUAAUUGAAAGAACAACUCAACAGCAAGAAAAUUAAACAACUUUCCAAGAAGAGAGUGGUGGAGUAUCAGAGUUCCUCCAGGUAAUUAGAUCGCCGGCGUAUCUACCACCCUUGACAACAUCUGCGGCAGCAAAGGACUCGAGUUCUGCCAUUUCUUGUGGUGCAAGUUUCACAGAUAAAGCACCAAUGUUGUUGUUAAGGUUCUCAAGUUUGGUGGUUCCGGGAAUGGGGCAGACAUCAUUGCCUUGGUGGUGAAGCCAUGCCAAUGCAAGCUGAGAUGGUGUGCAUCCUUUCUUUGCGGCCAUUUCUUUUUUUUUUUUUUUAAUGUAUGUAUCAUUGAUGAACAUUUGAAAAACAUAAUAUAGUAAGAUGCAAGUGUUAUGAAAUGAAUAUAUAUUAUCAUAUAUCUUUUUAGGUCACCGAUCAACAAAAUCCUAAUAAUAUUAGUAGGUAACUUAUCUACUAAAGUUUGACUUGUUAAGAUUUGUGAAAGAAUAUGUAACUGAGUACAAAACAUGAUUAUGAAAAUGACAAGUGAUCAGAGCAUGAAUUUCUAUAAUCGCACACAUAUGACACAAACCUUCCUGAAGUCGUCCUGUGAUAAAUUAUCAAGCAACUUUGAUCCGGAUGAAAAGAAUCCGCAGCCAAGAGGACUGUAUGCAACAAUUCCAAUGCCAAGUUCCCUGAAAAGGACAAUAGUUGGAAGCCAAAAACUCAGACAUUGUAUCAUGAUGUUUUAUGAGAAGUCCUAGAAAGAGAUUUGCUUGUUAACAAGAACAUUAAUACUUGUGAAUGAUUAGAUUCAAACCUGCAAGUUGGAAUCACUUCUUCUUCAACAUCUCUUGACCAAAGAGACCAUUCUAACUGCACAGCUGAUAUGGGAUGAACAGCAUGUGCUCUUCUGAUUGUUGAAGCUGAAGCCUCGGAUAGACCAAUGUAUUUUAUUUUUCCCUCCUCAACAAGCUUCUUAAGCUCACCAGUCUUAACUUGAAAUUGAAGAAGUGAAAAAAAUUGAAGUCAUCACACAUAAGGUAGUCUAUUUUUAUUACUUCAUGCUCUUAACAAUUACCAUAAAAGUAGAUGAAGUGGAUAGAUUUCGACAAAAAUGGGGAUUUUUCUGUUAAAUCUUUCCUUAAUAUUAUUUAUAAGGACAGGAAUAGAGAGACGGAUUCCAACAUGUAUAAUUUUGCUAAAAAGUUGUGGGUUGGCUUUGUUCCUCCUAGAGUGGAGCUCCUCACUUAGUUUAUAGUUCUAGGAAGACUAAAUACAAAGGAUAGGCUGUGCAAUUUGAAGAUGCUUCGGAGUGAGGAUGUGAAGUGCGUGCUUUGUGGUUCUAGACCUGAGUCUGUCCACCACAUUUUCUUUGCAUGUGACUGGUCUUGGAAUUUAUGGGUUGUGAUCCUUCAAAGGUGGGGUCUAUCUUGGGUGUGGCCGAAUUUAGCAAAAGAUUGCUUUGACUGCUGGGUGGAUUUAAGGCUUGGUAAUAUACAAAAGUGUGAAUGGAUUAUUUGCUUCUUUGCAACGGUGUGGACUAUAUGGAAGGAGCGCAACUGCAGAAUUUUUUGCAAGAAGGAAAGAUCCUUUGAGGCAUGUGUAAGCGACAUUCAAUUCCUGGUCAACCAAUGGUGUAAUUAUAGGCACAGUAAUUAUGGUUGAAACUGCUUAUUUGUGAUUUUUAGUGGUGUGGGUUUGUUUCUCAGGGACUCGUUGUUCGUGUUGUUUUUUUGUUCUGUUGGCGGUCCUAGGCUUCUUAGUGCCUUCGAGGUUUUUGACAUUCGUGUAAUAGUCUAGAUCUUUAGCUUAUGUCUUUGUUGUUUUAUGUUUGGUUCUUGUUUUGUUUAGUUUAAGUUUCGUUUUUUCUUGUUGUCUGUAGCUUGCUCUCACUUCCCUCUUUGGGAUUUAAGUGAGUUCUAAAACUAUCAAAAAAAAAAAAAAAACAAUUAACAUACUAAAUGUCAGUUCCAUAAAACGGAUUGCAUUUCCUUAACAAUAUGAUAUUCAAUCUUGUUAAGUGAUGAAUAAUUCAAACAUAAGUGUUCACUGAACUAGUUAAAUGUGAAAUUCAAGGUUAUUAAUUUCUCGAGUUAACUCGUAAACUCUUAUGGUUCAAGUUGACCUAAAGACUUAUUUUAUGAUAGAGAAAGAUUCAAACCGUUAUUUCGAUUGGAACACGUGUAUCGAUUCGAUGUUGGUAAUAGAGAUCUAUGCAAUCAAUGUCAAGUCUCUUCAAGCUUCCUUCACAGGCAGCUCUCACAUAUGAUGGAUCACCACGGUUCUCAUAUUUUCCAUCAUCAGAAAUGCGGAUACCAAACUUGGUUGCCAAUUCAACCUUCUCUCUCACCCCUCCACUCAAAGCCUGUCUCAAAGUUCCAAACAUUUCAUCAUAAUAUCAUAUGCACAAGCCAAAACAAAAUUGUGACAUAAAAUUCAAACUUGAGAACUUGCUUAAGAAGAAUCCAUGAUCUAUAACAGAGAAGAAAGCAACAUAAAAUCUUGAAUCACUCGUUAUUUUUUUCACUUGGAUAAGAUCAACUGAACUGUUUAUGUCAACUUAUCUGUCUCCAAUUAAGUCCAAGGAUCAGAACAACUAAAAAAAAUAAAAAAUCAGAAGAAAAGUCAAAAGGGUAGGUGAAUCAAAGCUCAAGUAGGAACCUUUCCAAUCAGAAUUUCAUUGGUGUGAGGACCAUAGACAUCAGAGGUAUCAAGGAAUGUGACACCACUUUGAACAGCAUGGUGAAUGAGAGC
Molecule: long non-coding RNA, 4513 nt
Filed under: Arachis ipaensis
Lineage: Eukaryota; Viridiplantae; Streptophyta; Magnoliopsida; Fabales; Fabaceae
Description: long non-coding RNA (AIPA_LNC001077)
Source: RNAcentral